AUGGCGUCCUCCACCCAAUCCCACCAAGAAGAAGAGGAGGAGCAUGGUCACCGCGGCGGCGGCCAUGGCGACCAGAUCACCGCCCCACUCCUCCCAAACCGGCCGUCAACGUCGCGGAGCUCACCGGAGCACCACGAAGACGACGGCCAUGGCAUAUCGUCGGAGAACUCGCCGAUCGAGCAGGUGGCGCUGACGGUCCCCGUGGGCGAUGACCCGGACACCCCCGUGCUCACCUUCCGGAUGUGGGUGCUGGGCAUGGCGUCCUGCGCCAUGCUCUCCUUCCUCAACCAGUUCUUCUGGUACCGCAAGGAGCCGCUCACCAUCACCGCCAUCUCCGCCCAGAUCGCCGUGGUGCCGCUUGGCCGCCUCAUGGCCGCGGCGCUGCCGGAGCGGGCCUUCCUCCGCGGCACGCGCUGGGAGUUCACCCUCAACCCGGGGCCGUUCAACGUGAAGGAGCACGUGCUGAUCACCAUCUUCGCCAACGCUGGCGCCGGCACCGUCUACGCCAUCCAUGUUGUCACCGCCGUCCGCGUGUUCUAUGGCAAGAACCUCACCUUCUUCGUCUCCCUCCUCGUGGUGCUCACCACGCAGGUGCUCGGGUUCGGGUGGGCAGGGAUUUUCCGGCGGUACCUCGUCGAGCCGGCGGCCAUGUGGUGGCCGUCCAACCUCGUGCAGGUCUCCCUCUUCAGAGCGCUCCACGAGGAUGAAAGGCGGCGAAAAGGGGGCUUCACGCGAAAUCAGUUCUUCCUGGUGGCGUUCGCCUGCAGCUUCGCAUACUACGCCUUCCCGGGCUACCUGUUUCAGAUGCUCACCUCACUCUCCUGGAUCUGCUGGGUGUUCCCCAACUCUGUGUUCGCCCAGCAGCUCGGCUCAGGCCUCCACGGGCUCGGCAUCGCCGCAAUCGGCCUCGACUGGGCAUCGAUUUCCAGCUACCUUGGGAGCCCUCUCGUCAGCCCCUGGUUCGCCACUGCGAAUGUCGCUGCAGGCUUCUUCAUCGUCAUGUAUAUCAUCGUGCCUAUUGGGUACUGGUUUGAUUUCUACAAGGCGCAGACCUUCCCCAUCUACUCUUCCGGUCUCUUCACCUCUGCCGGGCAGAAGUAUAACAUCUCGGCUAUCGUCGACGACCAUUUCCAUCUUGAUAUAGAGGCAUAUGAGAAAAAUGGUCCACUGUACCUCAGCACUCUCUUUGCUGUCACAUAUGGUAUUGGCUUCGCGUCACUUACCGCGACGAUCGUUCAUGUCAUCCUGUUUCACGGAAGGGAGAUUUUGCAGCUAAGCAGAUCAGCUUUUCAAGGGAAAAGUGUGGACAUACAUACGAAGCUAAUGAG
Molecule: ribosomal RNA, 1328 nt
Filed under: Triticum aestivum (bread wheat)
Lineage: Eukaryota; Viridiplantae; Streptophyta; Magnoliopsida; Poales; Poaceae
Description: partial small subunit ribosomal RNA
Source: RNAcentral